CCUACGGGAGGCAGCAGUGAGGAAUAUUGGUCAAUGGACGCAAGUCUGAACCAGCCAUGCCGCGUGCAGGAUGACGGCUCUAUGAGUUGUAAACUGCUUUUGUACGAGGGUAAACGCUCUUACGUGUAAGAGCCUGAAAGUAUCGUACGAAUAAGGAUCGGCUAACUCCGUGCCAGCAGCCGCGGUAAUACGGAGGAUUCAAGCGUUAUCCGGAUUUAUUGGGUUUAAAGGGUGCGUAGGCGGUUUGAUAAGUUAGAGGUGAAAUUUCGGGGCUCAACCCUGAACGUGCCUCUAAUACUGUUGAGCUAGAGAGUAGUUGCGGUAGGCGGAAUGUAUGGUGUAGCGGUGAAAUGCUUAGAGAUCAUACAGAACACCGAUUGCGAAGGCAGCUUACCAAACUAUAUCUGACGUUGAGGCACGAAAGCGUGGGGAGCAAACAGGAUUAGAUACCCUGGUAGUCCACGCAGUAAACGAUGAUAACUCGUUGUCGGCGAUACACAGUCGGUGACUAAGCGAAAGCGAUAAGUUAUCCACCUGGGGAGUACGUUCGCAAGAAUGAAACUCAAAGGAAUUGACGGGGGCCCGCACAAGCGGAGGAACAUGUGGUUUAAUUCGAUGAUACGCGAGGAACCUUACCCGGGCUUGAAAGUUAGCGACGAUUCUUGAAAGAGGAUUUCCCUUCGGGGCGCGAAACUAGGUGCUGCAUGGUUGUCGUCAGCUCGUGCCGUGAGGUGUCGGCUUAAGUCCCAUAACGAGCGCAACCCCUACCGUUAGUUGCCAUCAGGUCAAGCUGGGCACUCUGGCGGGACUGCCGGUGUAAGCCGAGAGGAAGGUGGGGAUGACGUCAAAUCAGCACGGCCCUUACGUCCGGGGCUACACACGUGUUACAAUGGUAGGUACAGAGGGCAGCUACCCAGCGAUGGGAUGCGAAUCUCGAAAGCCUAUCUCAGUUCGGAUUGGAGGCUGAAACCCGCCUCCAUGAAGUUGGAUUCGCUAGUAAUCGCGCAUCAGCCAUGGCGCGGUGAAUACGUUCCCGGGCCUUGUACACACCGCCCGUCAAGCCAUGGGAGCCGGGGGUGCCUGAAGUUCGUGACCGCAAGGAGCGACCUAGGGCAAAACUGGUGACUGGGGCUAAGUCGUAACAAGGUAGCCGUACCGGAAGGUGCGGCUG
RNAcentral lists this ribosomal RNA (1171 nucleotides) under human gut metagenome. RNAcentral's name for it is "bacterial SSU rRNA". It matches the Rfam family "Bacterial small subunit ribosomal RNA", at positions 338 to 1520 of the family's 1533-position model. The record is from RNAcentral.